This 779-nucleotide ribosomal RNA is filed under the name Hypogymnia imshaugii. RNAcentral describes it as "mitochondrial SSU rRNA". It matches the Rfam family "Bacterial small subunit ribosomal RNA", at positions 426 to 1149 of the family's 1533-position model. Lineage: Eukaryota; Fungi; Ascomycota; Lecanoromycetes; Lecanorales; Parmeliaceae. The record is from RNAcentral.
UAAAAAUGAUGCAGGAUCGACUAUGUCGAAUAAAAUUCUAGGUAGAAUUAUGAUAAUGACAUUGUCUGCCUAUGUGUCUUGACCAAAUUACGUGCCAGCAGUCGCGGUAAUACGUAGAAGACUAGUGUUAUUCAUGUUUAAUCGGUUUAAAGGGUACCUAGACGGUAAAUCAAGCCUAAAAUUAAAUGAAGGGACUAAUUUACUAGAGUUACUUAUGAGGGGGUAUUAAAGUACUGCUGGUGUAGAGAUGAAAUUCUGUCAUACCUCUUUUCAAUAGAAAAACAAUGGCACAGGUAUAGGCGAAAGCAUCCCCUUAUGUGAUAACUGACGUUGAGGGACGAAGGCUUUGUGUAGCGAACAGGAUUAGAUACCCCAGUAGUCAAAGCAGAAAAUGAUGAAUGUCAUAGAUUAGAUAAAUAAGUUUAUUCUAUAAAUGAAAGUGUAAGCAUUCCACCUCAAGAGUAAUUUGGCAACAUUGGAACUGAAAUCAUUAGACCGUUUCUGAAACCAGUAGUGAAGUAUGUUGUUUAAUUUGAUGAUCCGCAAAAAACCUUACCACAAUUUGAAUAUUUAUAUUUUUUUAUUGUUUUCUUUUUAAUUUUCUUCUGAUUUGAUUUUUCUAAAGAAAAAAAGAAAAAGAGGCGAUAUGAUAUAUUUACAAGCGUUGCACGGCUGUCUUCAGUUAAUGUCGCGAGACUUUGGUUAGUUCCAUUAAAUUAACGUAAACCCUUACUUUAUUUUUAUAUAGAGUAGUUCCCCGCUAUAUUGGAUAUGAUAAC